This 2930-nucleotide ribosomal RNA is filed under the name Escherichia coli. Its description in RNAcentral is "23S ribosomal RNA". It matches the Rfam family "Bacterial large subunit ribosomal RNA". Lineage: Bacteria; Pseudomonadati; Pseudomonadota; Gammaproteobacteria; Enterobacterales; Enterobacteriaceae. The record is from RNAcentral.
GGGUUGUGAGGUUAAGCGACUAAGCGUACACGGUGGAUGCCCUGGCAGUCAGAGGCGAUGAAGGACGUGCUAAUCUGCGAUAAGCGUCGGUAAGGUGAUAUGAACCGUUAUAACCGGCGAUUUCCGAAUGGGGAAACCCAGUGUGUUUCGACACACUAUCAUUAACUGAAUCCAUAGGUUAAUGAGGCGAACCGGGGGAACUGAAACAUCUAAGUACCCCGAGGAAAAGAAAUCAACCGAGAUUCCCCCAGUAGCGGCGAGCGAACGGGGAGGAGCCCAGAGCCUGAAUCAGUGUGUGUGUUAGUGGAAGCGUCUGGAAAGGCGCGCGAUACAGGGUGACAGCCCCGUACACAAAAAUGCACAUGCUGUGAGCUCGAUGAGUAGGGCGGGACACGUGGUAUCCUGUCUGAAUAUGGGGGGACCAUCCUCCAAGGCUAAAUACUCCUGACUGACCGAUAGUGAACCAGUACCGUGAGGGAAAGGCGAAAAGAACCCCGGCGAGGGGAGUGAAAAAGAACCUGAAACCGUGUACGUACAAGCAGUGGGAGCACGCUUAGGCGUGUGACUGCGUACCUUUUGUAUAAUGGGUCAGCGACUUAUAUUCUGUAGCAAGGUUAACCGAAUAGGGGAGCCGAAGGGAAACCGAGUCUUAACUGGGCGUUAAGUUGCAGGGUAUAGACCCGAAACCCGGUGAUCUAGCCAUGGGCAGGUUGAAGGUUGGGUAACACUAACUGGAGGACCGAACCGACUAAUGUUGAAAAAUUAGCGGAUGACUUGUGGCUGGGGGUGAAAGGCCAAUCAAACCGGGAGAUAGCUGGUUCUCCCCGAAAGCUAUUUAGGUAGCGCCUCGUGAAUUCAUCUCCGGGGGUAGAGCACUGUUUCGGCAAGGGGGUCAUCCCGACUUACCAACCCGAUGCAAACUGCGAAUACCGGAGAAUGUUAUCACGGGAGACACACGGCGGGUGCUAACGUCCGUCGUGAAGAGGGAAACAACCCAGACCGCCAGCUAAGGUCCCAAAGUCAUGGUUAAGUGGGAAACGAUGUGGGAAGGCCCAGACAGCCAGGAUGUUGGCUUAGAAGCAGCCAUCAUUUAAAGAAAGCGUAAUAGCUCACUGGUCGAGUCGGCCUGCGCGGAAGAUGUAACGGGGCUAAACCAUGCACCGAAGCUGCGGCAGCGACACUAUGUGUUGUUGGGUAGGGGAGCGUUCUGUAAGCCUGUGAAGGUGUGCUGUGAGGCAUGCUGGAGGUAUCAGAAGUGCGAAUGCUGACAUAAGUAACGAUAAAGCGGGUGAAAAGCCCGCUCGCCGGAAGACCAAGGGUUCCUGUCCAACGUUAAUCGGGGCAGGGUGAGUCGACCCCUAAGGCGAGGCCGAAAGGCGUAGUCGAUGGGAAACAGGUUAAUAUUCCUGUACUUGGUGUUACUGCGAAGGGGGGACGGAGAAGGCUAUGUUGGCCGGGCGACGGUUGUCCCGGUUUAAGCGUGUAGGCUGGUUUUCCAGGCAAAUCCGGAAAAUCAAGGCUGAGGCGUGAUGACGAGGCACUACGGUGCUGAAGCAACAAAUGCCCUGCUUCCAGGAAAAGCCUCUAAGCAUCAGGUAACAUCAAAUCGUACCCCAAACCGACACAGGUGGUCAGGUAGAGAAUACCAAGGCGCUUGAGAGAACUCGGGUGAAGGAACUAGGCAAAAUGGUGCCGUAACUUCGGGAGAAGGCACGCUGAUAUGUAGGUGAAGCGACUUGCUCGUGGAGCUGAAAUCAGUCGAAGAUACCAGCUGGCUGCAACUGUUUAUUAAAAACACAGCACUGUGCAAACACGAAAGUGGACGUAUACGGUGUGACGCCUGCCCGGUGCCGGAAGGUUAAUUGAUGGGGUCAGCGCAAGCGAAGCUCUUGAUCGAAGCCCCGGUAAACGGCGGCCGUAACUAUAACGGUCCUAAGGUAGCGAAAUUCCUUGUCGGGUAAGUUCCGACCUGCACGAAUGGCGUAAUGAUGGCCAGGCUGUCUCCACCCGAGACUCAGUGAAAUUGAACUCGCUGUGAAGAUGCAGUGUACCCGCGGCAAGACGGAAAGACCCCGUGAACCUUUACUAUAGCUUGACACUGAACAUUGAGCCUUGAUGUGUAGGAUAGGUGGGAGGCUUUGAAGUGUGGACGCCAGUCUGCAUGGAGCCGACCUUGAAAUACCACCCUUUAAUGUUUGAUGUUCUAACGUUGACCCGUAAUCCGGGUUGCGGACAGUGUCUGGUGGGUAGUUUGACUGGGGCGGUCUCCUCCUAAAGAGUAACGGAGGAGCACGAAGGUUGGCUAAUCCUGGUCGGACAUCAGGAGGUUAGUGCAAUGGCAUAAGCCAGCUUGACUGCGAGCGUGACGGCGCGAGCAGGUGCGAAAGCAGGUCAUAGUGAUCCGGUGGUUCUGAAUGGAAGGGCCAUCGCUCAACGGAUAAAAGGUACUCCGGGGAUAACAGGCUGAUACCGCCCAAGAGUUCAUAUCGACGGCGGUGUUUGGCACCUCGAUGUCGGCUCAUCACAUCCUGGGGCUGAAGUAGGUCCCAAGGGUAUGGCUGUUCGCCAUUUAAAGUGGUACGCGAGCUGGGUUUAGAACGUCGUGAGACAGUUCGGUCCCUAUCUGCCGUGGGCGCUGGAGAACUGAGGGGGGCUGCUCCUAGUACGAGAGGACCGGAGUGGACGCAUCACUGGUGUUCGGGUUGUCAUGCCAAUGGCACUGCCCGGUAGCUAAAUGCGGAAGAGAUAAGUGCUGAAAGCAUCUAAGCACGAAACUUGCCCCGAGAUGAGUUCUCCCUGACCCUUUAAGGGUCCUGAAGGAACGUUGAAGACGACGACGUUGAUAGGCCGGGUGUGUAAGCGCAGCGAUGCGUUGAGCUAACCGGUACUAAUGAACCGUGAGGCUUAACCUUACAACGCCGAAGGUGUUU